AGUCCUUCGGAGGAACGGUUUCCCCCUCUUCUGGUUUACAACACCAGGCCGGUGUGCGCCGCGACCUACCCUGGUCUUGCUAUACCUGGC
This 90-nucleotide transfer RNA is filed under the name Equus caballus (horse). RNAcentral describes it as "partial transfer RNA-Thr". Lineage: Eukaryota; Metazoa; Chordata; Mammalia; Perissodactyla; Equidae. The record is from RNAcentral.